CCUACGGGAGGCAGCAGUGGGGGAUAUUGCACAAUGGGGGGAACCCUGAUGCAGCGACGCCGCGUGGGUGAAGGAGCGUUUCGGCGCGUAAAGCCCUAUCGGCAGGGAAGAAGGAGGAAGGUUCCUGACUAAGAAGCGCCGGCUAACUACGAGCCAGCAGCCGCGGUAAUACGUAGGGGGCAAGCGUUAUCCGGAUUUAUUGGGUUUAAAGGGUGCGUAGGCGGGCGUAUAAGUCAGCGGUAAAAAUUCGGGGCUCAACCCCGUCCGGCCGGUGAAACUGGGGGCCUUGAGUGGGCGAGAAGAAGGCGGAAUGCGUGGUGUAGCGGUGAAAUGCAUAGAUAUCACGCAGAACCCCGAUUGCGAAGGCAGCCUUCCGGCGCCCUACUGACGCUGAGGCACGAAAGUGCGGGGAUCGAACAGGAUUAGAUACCCGAGUAGUC
Molecule: ribosomal RNA, 440 nt
Filed under: uncultured bacterium
Lineage: Bacteria
Description: partial 16S ribosomal RNA
Rfam family: Bacterial small subunit ribosomal RNA
Source: RNAcentral